AGGGCUAUAGCUCAGUUAGGUAGAGCACCACGUUUACACACCGAGAAGUUCUACGGUUCGAGUCCGUUACAAUAAA
RNAcentral lists this transfer RNA (76 nucleotides) under Parnassia foliosa. Its description in RNAcentral is "tRNA-Val". Lineage: Eukaryota; Viridiplantae; Streptophyta; Magnoliopsida; Celastrales; Celastraceae. The record is from RNAcentral.